This 1091-nucleotide long non-coding RNA is filed under the name Homo sapiens (human). RNAcentral describes it as "prostate cancer associated transcript 19". The record is from RNAcentral. Lineage: Eukaryota; Metazoa; Chordata; Mammalia; Primates; Hominidae.
GUUAUUUGACUGGAGUGAGGUCUCAUGUCUGCUUAUGCGGUGGCUCGCUGCUCAGAACAGGAUGGCAGAGAUGAGCACCACCAUCAAAAACUCAAGGACCAGUGCUGUGGGUCCAGUCAUCUGUUUCAUGGAAUUCACCAGUCUGGUAUCUUCAAAAUCCAGAAGGAUGAUGGCAGAUGGCAGGAAGGAGGAAGAGGGUAAUCUGGAAGAGUUUCCUGACCUACUCUGCUGCUGUGAUUAAACAACCACCAGGAAAUUUUGAUGACACUGUUCUCCUGAGCUCCUCCCUUUCCUCGGGGAAGAAAAGCAUUGAAACUACAAAAAUAAAGUGUUAUUUGGCUGGAGUGAGGUCUCAUGUCUGCUUAUGCGGUGGCUCGCUGCUCAGAACAGGGAACCAUUGGAGAUACUCAUUACUCUUUGAAGGCUUACAGUGGAAUGAAUUCAAAUACGACUUAUUUGAGGAAUUGAAGUUGACUUUAUGGAGCUGAUAAGAAUCUUCUUGGAGAAAAAAAGACUGGAUCUUUCAUUGUAGUACUUCUGAAUUAACCAAAAUCACAGUAUUCUGAAGAUGAUUCUACAAAGCCUGCUGUUUCUACAAAGGCUGCUGAUGAUUUCUACAAAGCCUGCUGUAGUGUUGCUGUGGCCUCUGCUUAAAAAAGUAGAAAACACAUUGAUGCAGCAUGUUCACCCCAACCUCCCUGCCUAAAGGCUCAGGGACCAUCUUGGAAGAGGAAGGCGCGUGAGAUUGUAAGAGCCGAAUUAGGGGGAUGGAGUGUGGAGAAUAAGGACACUUCAUCUUGGAUGCUCACCUGCCAAAUUGACUUCUGAUGAAAGCCAGCUCCAGAAAUGUGCCUACAGUUACUACUUUCACCUAAACCCUGCCCUUAGUCAAAUCCUUCUCUUCUUCUAAGCAAUCAACUUCAAUUCCUUGUAUAACCCACAGUAUAAAAGGGCUUUUAUACCAUUCUAUCCUAUUGCAUGUAAGCCUUGGGUCUGGGAGGUAACAGUGUGGGAUUCCACCAUCUCAUCUCCCUGCCACCCAAACAUGCCUGCUCUUCUUUAAGCAAUAUUAAAUGUUUGUACUUCAGAAA